AUUGAACGCUGGCGGCGUGCCUAACACAUGCAAGUCGAGCGGUAACAGGUGUAGCAAUACAUGCUGACGAGCGGCGAACGGGUGAGUAAUGCUUCGGAAUCUACCCAAUGGUGGGGAAUAACCAGCCGAAAGGUUGGCUAAUACCGCAUACGUCCCACGGGAGAAAGCAGGGGAUCGACAAGACCUUGCGCCAAUGGAUGAGCCGAAGUCGGAUUAGCUAGUUGGAGGGUAACGGCCUACCAAGGCGACGAUCCGUAGCUGGUCUGAGAGGACGACCAGCCACACUGGGACUGAGACACGGCCCAGACUCCUACGGGAGGCAGCAGUGGGGAUAUUGGACAAUGGGGGAAACCCUGAUCCAGCGACGCCGCGUGUGUGAAGAAGGCC
This 387-nucleotide ribosomal RNA is filed under the name uncultured bacterium. RNAcentral's name for it is "bacterial SSU rRNA". It matches the Rfam family "Bacterial small subunit ribosomal RNA", at positions 29 to 416 of the family's 1533-position model. The record is from RNAcentral.